Molecule: small nuclear RNA, 107 nt
Organism: Loxodonta africana (African savanna elephant)
Lineage: Eukaryota; Metazoa; Chordata; Mammalia; Proboscidea; Elephantidae
Source: Ensembl
GUGUUUGCUUCAGUAGCAUGUAUACAAAAAUUGGAAUGGUACAGAGAAGAUUAGCUUGGCCCCUACACAAGGAUAACAUGCAAAGUGUUGAAGAGUUCCAUAUUUUU